Molecule: ribosomal RNA, 274 nt
Filed under: uncultured bacterium
Lineage: Bacteria
Description: partial 16S ribosomal RNA
Rfam family: Bacterial small subunit ribosomal RNA
Source: RNAcentral
AUACGGAGGGUGCGAGCGUUAAUCGGAAUCACUGGGCGUAAAGGACGCGUAGGCGGGUUGGCAAGUCAGAUGUGAAAUCCUACAGCUUAACUGUAGAACUGCAUUUGAAACUGCUAACCUAGAGUAUGGGAGGGGGAGAUGGAAUUAGUGGUGUAGGGGUAAAAUCCGUAGAUAUCACUAGGAAUACCGAAAGCGAAGGCGAUCUCCUGGAACAUAACUGACGCUAAGGCGUGAAAGCGUGGGGAGCAAACAGGAUUAGAUACCCUAGUAGUCC